UGUGACUGCUCAGAAUCGAACUGAGAUUCAUGUUUCCACAGAACACUGCCUUACCAUUAGGCUACAGUCAC
Molecule: transfer RNA, 71 nt
Filed under: Enterococcus phage iF6
Lineage: Duplodnaviria; Heunggongvirae; Uroviricota; Caudoviricetes; Herelleviridae
Description: tRNA-His
Source: RNAcentral